RNAcentral lists this unclassified non-coding RNA (701 nucleotides) under Hevea brasiliensis (rubber tree). Lineage: Eukaryota; Viridiplantae; Streptophyta; Magnoliopsida; Malpighiales; Euphorbiaceae. The record is from RNAcentral.
UUUGGGGUCAAUGUGUAUGGUGGUAAGUUAUAACAGCAUCAAUACAUAGUAAUCUCUCUUCACUAUAAACUAUCAUUAAUGUAUAUACUUUAGGAUUUGGUGGUGUCUUUGGUAUAGCAAGAUGAACUUGAUUUGUCCUCUUAGUAUGUGAUUUGAAGAUGUUUAAACUUUGUUUAAGGUUUAUAGGAAACUAUCGUUGGAAUUCUAUGAAAAAUGACAAAGCACUAUAUAUUCAUCGGUUUCUAAUUGGUAGAAAUGCCUGAUUUGAUUUGUUUUUAAAGCCAUGAGAUAGUACGUUAUCUCAAGUAGGGAGGCCAAAAGGCUUGUGCUAGGUGCAAAUUAAGGUGAUCAACUCUUUUUUGAAAUUUUUAUUCAACAAAAUAUGAUAAUUAUCAUGUGUAGCAUUGAUUUUUGAGUGCAGCAGCAGCUUUGGUAAAAGGAAAUUUAAUAAGAGUAUGGAUUUAUAAGGAUGAUAUAUGCAAGAAACAUAAUUUUGAGGCAACAUAUGUUUUCUUACUUGGGCAAUUUAAAGAACCCUCUUGAUAUACAUUUUUGUUGGAGAUAUAACCUAUUCCAUUUAAAAAUAGACUAAAGUUGUUUUAUUUGACAUCUCUGUUAGAGGUUGGUCAAUGGAACAAUAACACAGAGACUCAAAUUUAAGUGAAUUUAGAAAUUAUAACCUAUAUAAUGCAUGUUGACAA